Molecule: ribosomal RNA, 459 nt
Filed under: uncultured bacterium
Lineage: Bacteria
Description: partial 16S ribosomal RNA
Rfam family: Bacterial small subunit ribosomal RNA
Source: RNAcentral
CCUACGGGAGGCAGCAGUGAGGAAUAUUGGUCAAUGGGAGAGAUCCUGAACCAGCCAAGCCGCGUGAGGGAAGACGGCCCUGUGGGGUGUAAACCUCUUUUGUCGGAGAACAAAACCCGGUACGUGUCCCGGACUGCGUGUAUCCGAAGAAAAAGCAUCCGCUAACUCCGUGCCAGCUGCCGCGGUAAUACGGAGGCUGCGAGCGUUAUCCGGAUUUAUUGGGUUAAAAGGGUGCGGAGGCGGUCCGUUAAGUCAGCGGUAAAAUUGCGGGGCUAAACCCCGUCGAGCAGUUGAAACUGGCAGACUUGAGUUGGCGAGAAGUACGGGGAAUGCGCGGUGUAGCGGUGAAAUGCAUAGAUAUCGCGCAGAACACCGGUUGCGAAGGCAGCGUACCGGCGCCAGACUGACGCUGAGGCACGAAAGCGUGGGGAUCGAACAGGAUUAGAUACCCCUGUAGUC